GUUCAAUGUACCCAAAGCAUUGGAUGGAUGCCCGGGCAUUGAGAUGGAAGGACGCUUGAAGAGGCAAAAGGCCAUGGGGAGAUACCAUCUGUGAUCGAUGGAUCUCCGAUCUAGAAACAGUAUCCAAGCUCCGUGGCUAGUCUGCGCUCUUUAGACUUUGAAAACUUAGCGAACUGAAACAUCUGACUAGUUAAAGGAAGGGAAAUCAAUCGACACCCCGUUUGUAGCGACGAGCGAGAGCGGAUUGGAGCUUUGAAGAAAAAGAAACACAAAGCUUACCACGAAGCUUUGCGCUAGCGAAGCAAAGCAAUUCAAUCUUCUUUCAUCCGCGAAGCGAAAAGAAGAAAAGGUGCGGAGCCGCUUAGCCUCAUUCCUCUUGCUUCGCUCAUUGCUUGCUCAGUGAUUACACACUUCGCUUCCUUUCCUAUUAGGCUCGUUUCAUAGAAUUGCACUCAUUUAAAUGUAACUCGUUCUCGAUCGGCUUAACAAACUAGUUUUUGUUGGCUCCUAUUAAGCUCGCGUAACUCGUUCUCGUUGGUUUCAUUUGAUUUGUUGUGGAAUGGAUGAUAGAAAAACCUUUGGUCCGGGAAUUGUGAAAAGGUUGGAAGAUCUGGCCAAAGAAGGUGAUAACCUUGUAGAUUCGUUCCCAUGGUUUAAUCCUUCCCAGUAAAACACGGCGUGUUCGAAUUCUGAUCGCUUUUCCACGAGAAAGGGGGACCACCCUCUAAGCCUAAGUCUUCCUUAGUGACCGAUAGCGUACAAGUACCGUGAGGAAAGGUGAAAAGAACCCUUUUUAGGGAGUGCAAUAGAGAACCUGAGAUCCGAUGCCAACAAUCAGUCGAAGGAGCGGAGUGUAGAGCCAAACGGGCGCAGUCACUCUAAUGGCGUACCUUUUGCAUGAUGGGUCAACGAGGAAAUGGGAACAACGGCUUAAGCCAUUAGGUGUAGGCGCUUCUAGAGGUUGAAUCUUCUAGUUGUUCCAAUUUGACCCAAAACGGAUCAAUCUAGCCAUGAGCAGGUUGAAGAGAGCUCUAACAGGCCUUGGAGGAUCAAACCCACGUAUGUGGCAAAUUAUGGGGAUGACCUAGGGCUAGGGGUGAAAGGCCAACCAAGAUCGGAUAUAGCUGGUUUUCUACAAAAUAUAUUUCAGUAGAGCGUAUGAUGUUGAUGGCCCGAGGUAGAGCACUCAAUGGGCUAGGGUGGCCCCCAAAAAGCUUGACCAACCCCAGGGAAACUCUGAAGAUAGGCCUAGAUCGUUUGUACAGACAGACUCUUUGGGUGCUAAGAUCCAAAAUCGAGAGGGAAACAACCCAGAUCGUACACUAAGGUCCCUAAGCAAUCACUUAGUGGAAAAGGAAGUGAUCGAGCGAUGACAAUCAGGAGGUGGGCUUGGAAGCAGCCAUCCUUUAAAGAAAGUGUAAUAGCUCAUUAGUCUAGCUCCAUGGCACCAAAAAUGUAUCAGAGCUCAACUGAUUCACCGAAGCGACGAGACCUUGAAGGCAUUUUCAAGUGUCAGUAGCAGAACGUUCUGUUAAUCGGGGAAGGUUUUUGGUGACAACACCUGGAGAUAUUAGAAGUGAGAAUGUUGACUUGAGUAACGAGAAAUCCUAUGAAAAACAUGAUCGCCUGUUAGUUCAAGGCUUUCUGCGUUCAGUCAAUCUAUGCAGAGCGAAUCGGUCCCUAAGGAAGCCUCAAAAGGGCUGCCGUCCGAUGGGUACAUGAGAGUGAUGAAGUUGCUUUGACUCCUAAACCAUGCCUAUCUAUUGGAGCAAAUUGGAUGAUUGGGCCGAGGGCUGCCCCCUCUUCCCCUCGCUCUCCUUUCCCUAAGAUGAACCUUGAGUCAGAAAAGCCUUCUUGACUUGGACGUGCCUGGACCCUUAAGCUACUGACACUUCAAAAGGUGCAACGCUCAUCAUAGUUUGACGGCCUAACAACAAAGAAGUCAGUUGUUCAAGUAGUGGCAUGGCAAGCAAGGAGCAAAGCCAGUGGUAGUAAUGUCAAAUCAAUUAUUGUUGAGGUGGGUUUGCUUUUAGAAAAAGCGAUUGUUGAAGAAACGAAGAAAACUACACCAAGCAACCAAGUAAUGGGAGAGUGCGCUAGCACAUCCGUUUUCUUGCUGCGCGCUAGCGUAAAGCCGUUGCACGGUAGUGCAUAUGUUUUCUUACUGGGAAAAAAACAAACCAACGGAUGCAAGCAAGAAAACUGAUUCACGAUAGGUUAGCACCCUUGCUUCUUGCAAGAAAAUGGAUGCGCUAGCGGCGCGACGCGUUAGCGCCCUUGCUUCUUGCUUUCGAGCCUACGCUUGUUCGCUUUUUUCUCUUGCAAAGCACUCGCUCAUUAGAGCGAGUGCUUUGAUGUUGCUUCACACUCGGUCUUAGCUUUUGGGCAAAAGCAAAAAGGGAUCUUGUCUACUUGGGCUUUGACAAGACUUAGCUAACCUAACGACUGAACUCAUGCAGCAAAAAGGGCUCUUUACUACAUACUUGGUUUGGUUGGGCUUUGACGUUGCGCUAACGACUGAAUUCGUUGGGGCUUUGCUCGUUGCAUCAAACCAGCACUCUAUUGGGUAGCAGCAAAAAGCCCUCAAGAGGGCUUUGACAAGACUUAGCUAAUGACUGAGCUCACUGGGACUCGUUGGCUACAAAGCAAAUCGCUUAUGAGGGCUUUACAAAAAGAAAAGCUCUUGUUUGAGAGUGCCCAGCAAAGCACUCAUAAGCGAUUUGCUUUUUGACAGCAAAGCGCCCUGCCAAUAGUUUGACCUUGCUACGUGGAGUAGACUGAACGAGCUAGGCAGACACUUUUGAGUCAUCCAAAGGCGAACACGGGCGAAGACUCGGCCCAACGAGUGCUCUUUCUUAUAGGUGAGCUUUGGCUCCACGCACCUGUUGACACCUUUAUGAGCACUUUCUAGUGUGAACCCUUCGGUCGCCUUUCUCAUUUCAGUGCUCGCCUUUUGAAUCUUCAGGAGGGGCCUUUAGUCUUAGAAUAGGGGUCGUGAGAGAGCAGAGCGUACCGCCCUGUCAUAGUCGCGAGUCUGUUUAUUGUCACGACUGUUGUCAUAGUUAUAAAGGCUUUCAACUUCUAGGAAAAAAUUCUAAUUGGGAGUACGAUCCUCCCGGUGAACUGACCUUAUCCCAAACAGACACAGGUGAACAAGUUGAGUAUACUAGGACGCUUGAGAGAACCAUGUCGAAGGAACUCGAAAAAAUGACCCCGUAACUUCGGGAUAAGGGGUGCUCUCCUAUCUUUUGAUUAGGAGAGCAGCACAUACCAGGAGGUAGCGACUGUUUAUUAAAAACACAUAACUCUGCUAAGAGGUAACACGAUGUAUAAAGUCUGAUACCUGCUCGAUGCUGGAAGGUUGGAAGGAGAAGUCUUAUAAGCUUUGAAUGGAAGCCCCAAUAAAUGGUGGCAAUAACUCUUACUGUCCUAAGGUAGCAAAAUUCCUUGUCGCUUAAGUAGCGACCUGCACGAAUGGUGUAACGACUACCCCACUGUGUCCGACAUCGACCCGGUGAAAUUGAAUUCUCUGCAAAGAUGUGGAGUACCAAUGGCUAGGCGAUAAGACCCCGUGCACCUUGACUAUAACUUCAUAGUGACAACCUUGAUCGAAUGUGUUGGAUAGGUGGGAGGUGGUGACACAGAUCUCCCAAUCCUGAAAGACCACUCUUUCAUUUAAGGAUACCUAACUGCCACACUGAUCAUUAGUGGGGGGGGGGGGGGGACUCUGUGAGGUGGGUAGUUUAUCUAGGGCGGAUGACACCUAAAGAGUAACGGAGGUGUGUGAAGGUAGGCUCAAGCUAAGAUUAUGCUCGUGAGCGUAAUGGUAUAAGCCUGCCUGCCUGUAAGAACGACUGGUAGAACAAAGACAAAAGCUGGCCAUAGUGAUCUGGGAGUCUCAUGUGGAAGGGCUCCCGCUCAACGGAUCAAAGGUACGUCGGGGAUAAUAGGCUGAGGACUCCUAAGAGCUCUUAUCGACAGAGUCGUUUGACACCUCGAUGUUGACUCAUCACAUCCUGGGGUUGAAGAAGGUCCCAAGGGUUUGGUUGUUCGCCGAUUAAAGUGGUACGUGAGUUGGGUUUAGAAUGUCGUGAGAUAGUUCGGUUCCUAUCUACCAUUGGUGUUAAAGGGAGAACUGCGAGGAGCCACGAGAGGACUUGGUUGGGCCAACCUAUGGUGUACCAAUUGUUAUGCCAAUAGCAGUGCCGGGCAGCUAAGUUGGUAUGGAAGAACUGCUGCGCCGCAUCUGAGCUGACUAUAGACUCACUCUCAAAGCAACGAGAGGAGUUUACGUUAGUUUAGUCACUCGCUGUCUUAAACAUUGGAAAUCCUUCUCCAUACAAGUUCUCGUAUGAGGUUUUUUAACAGAACUUCGAUAAGCGAGAGGUGUAAGCGUCGCGAGGUGUGAAGCAAUCUCGUACUAAACGAAUCUACUUUCUCUU
RNAcentral lists this ribosomal RNA (4442 nucleotides) under Amborella trichopoda. RNAcentral describes it as "Bacterial large subunit ribosomal RNA". It matches the Rfam family "Bacterial large subunit ribosomal RNA". Lineage: Eukaryota; Viridiplantae; Streptophyta; Magnoliopsida; Amborellales; Amborellaceae. The record is from Rfam by way of RNAcentral.